AUUGACCAUGUUGUAAACCAUUGUCUCUCUUUGAGAGAGGCUGGUUUAAGGGUGCAACCAAAUCUGCAGCGUCUGCAGCAAAACAACAGUAGGUUGCCAAAGGUUGCCUCCCACAGGAGGGAGAGGCAGAAUAUUAUAAGAUGCAGGCAGAGGAAAUACCAUGUCAACAAUGCAAUACAACUGUGGGAAAUUCGAAACAGAGUGCUGGCAGACAAUAUCACUUUUGGGAAUGUGAAUACAGUCAGCACAACGACAAUGGCCAGAGUCCCAGAGAAACAUUAAAUAAGGAGGAAGCAGUUGUACCCUUUGAGAGAAACAGUGAACGUGUGAAAGAACUCCAGUAUCAAUAUGUCCAGAGAGUAAUGGAGAUGAUGCUGGAUUCAACCUGGCAAAAACACACCGCAGGGGAAGAAAUGUGAUUGGACAGAGCAACCGUGGAUGUCCCAGG
Molecule: long non-coding RNA, 448 nt
Organism: Oncorhynchus kisutch (coho salmon)
Lineage: Eukaryota; Metazoa; Chordata; Actinopteri; Salmoniformes; Salmonidae
Exons: 3
Source: RefSeq, a predicted model, not a curated record